UCAAGAGAGAGAGAUCAUAACUUCUAUUUUAGGCUAGGAAGCAUACACUCAAUUGUCACAGGAUGAAACCUGCUCUUUUCUCCGUACUCUGUGAGAUCAAGGAGAAAACUGUCCUUAGUUUGAGAAAUUGUACAGACGAUGAACCCCCAGAUCCUCAGCUUAUGAGAUUAGAUAACAUGCUCAUAGCAGAGGGCGUUUCAGGUCCUGAGAAGGGAGGAGGAGCAUCAGCCGCAGCCAGUGCAGCUGCAGCAGCAAACUCAGAAGCUACCAUAGAACAUUCCGAUUACAGAGCUAAACUCACGCAAAUUAGGACGAUCUAUAACCAGGAGCUGGAGAAGUAUGAUCAGGCGUGCAAUGAGUUCACAACACACGUGAUGAACCUACUGAGAGAGCAGAGCAGAACCCGACCCAUUACACCUAAAGAGAUUGAGAGAAUGGUGCAAAUUAUUCACAAAAAGUUCAGUUCUAUCCAGGUUCAACUGAAGCAGAGUACCUGUGAGGCCGUGAUGAUCCUAAGAUCUAGGUUCCUGGACGCUAGACGGAAACGGAGAAAUUUCAGUAAGCAAGCUUCUGAAAUCCUAAACGAGUAUUUCUACUCCCACCUGGCGAACCCCUACCCUAGCGAGGAGGCGAAGGAGGAGCUGGCCAGGAAGUGCGGGAUAACGGUGUCCCAGGUUAACAACUGGUUUGGAAAUAAGAGGAUCAGAUACAAGAAGAACAUCACCAAGGCCCAGGAAGAGGCAAAUAUGUACGCCGCCAAGGCAGCUGCGGCGGCCGGCGGAGAUUCUCCCGGUCCUAUCCUUUCUCCGGGUAGUGAGUGGGGUGGAGGUGGAAUGCAUUUUCCUGGUUCUCCAGGCUUCCCUGGAUACUAGAGACUCCAGAUCAUCUUCAUACAGUAUUCUCAGUUCCCCGAGAAUGCAAUCUCAACUAGCUCUGGACAAGAAUAUUUGCCAGCAAAAAUCUUAUAUCUCUCUCUCUCGUGACGUAAUACAGAAAAGCAUAAACAAAGUUACCGUAUUCUAUCUGACCUGUGAACCAGUGAGUUAAGCCCAGUUUAUAACAAAGGGUGAACUUUUACACCCAACCAUUGAAAAUAUGACUCAAGAAAAUUUAAAUAUCAGGAAUAAAAACGCUCAAUUUAUUAACGCCUCGUAGACAGCUGCGGUAAGACACGCUAGAUAUUUCCUGUUAAUUUGAAUUUUCUUGGUUAAACUCUAAAUCUAUGCAGUUGUAAGAAAAUUUCUAAUAUGAAUGAACUCCUCCGCUGGAAUUAAACCAACAUGAAAACUGUUAUGAAAUAUUUCCUGUUCCAGAAGUUCUAGGCAACUGUGUAUAGUUCUCAAUUUAAAGUGUAAUCUUAGCAUAUUAAAUAUGUUGUAUAUUUCCUUUCGUGUUUACCAAAUUCACCAAAUGUAUUAUGUAUUCCAUCUUAUAUUUAUUAUGUAAGAUAAUUUGUAAUAAAGUUUCUUUCAACGCUCAA
Molecule: unclassified non-coding RNA, 1480 nt
Filed under: Eurytemora carolleeae
Lineage: Eukaryota; Metazoa; Arthropoda; Copepoda; Calanoida; Temoridae
Description: homeobox protein extradenticle
Source: RNAcentral